RNAcentral lists this ribosomal RNA (396 nucleotides) under uncultured bacterium. RNAcentral describes it as "partial 16S ribosomal RNA". It matches the Rfam family "Bacterial small subunit ribosomal RNA", at positions 523 to 918 of the family's 1533-position model. The record is from RNAcentral.
AUACGUAGGUGACAAGCGUUAUCCGGAUUUACUGGGCGUAAAGGGCGUGUAGGCGGCCUUGCAAGUCAGAAGUGAAAUUCCUGAGCUCAACUCGGGCGCUGCUUCUGAAACUGCAGGACUUGAGUGCUGGAGGGGAUAGCGGAAUUCCUAGUGGAGCGGUAAAAUGCGCAGAUAUUAGGAAGAACACCGGUGGCGAAGGCGGCUAUCUGGACAGUAACGGACGCUGAGGCGCGAAAGCGUGGGGAGCAAACAGGAUUAGAUCCCCUGGUAGUCCACGCUGUAAACGAUGAAUACUAGGUGUGGGGGGACUGACCCCCUCCGUGCCGAAGUUAACACAAUAAGUAUUCCACCUGGGGAGUACGAUCGCAAGAUUGAAACUCAAAUGAAUUGGCGGGG